GGUACCGGUACAGAGUCAAUGUGGAGGCUAUAUACAGGGGGUACCAGUACAGAGUCAAUGUGGAGGCUAUAUACAGGGGUUACCAGUACAGAGUCGAUGUGGAGGCUAUAUACAGGGUGUUAUGGUACAGAGUCAAUGUGGAGGCUAUAUACAGGGUGUUACGGUACAGAGUCAAUGUGGAGGCUAUAUACAGGGUGUUACGGUACAGAGUCAAUGUGGAGACUAUAUACAGGGGGUACCAGUACAGAGUCAAUGUGGAGGCUAUAUACAGGGGGUACCGGUACAGAGUCAAUGUGGAGGCUAUAUACAGGGGGUACCAGUACAGAGUCAAUGUGGAGGCUAUAUACAGGGGUUACCAGUACAGAGUCAAUGUGGAGGCUAUAUACAGGGGGUACCAGUACAGAGUCAAUGUGGAGGCUAUAUACAGGGGUUACCAGUACAGAGUCAAUGUGGAGGCUAUAUCCAGGGGGUACCGGUACAGACUCAAUGUGGAGGCUAUAUACAGGGUAUUACGGUACAGAGUCAAUGUGGAGGCUAUAUACAGGGGGUACCGGUACAGAGUCAAUGUGGAGGCUAUAUACAGGGGGUACAGGUACAGAGUCAAUGUGGAGGCUAUAUACAGGGGUUACCAGUACAGAGUCAAUGUGGAGGCUAUAUACAGGGGGUACCGGUACAGACUCAAUGUGGAGGCUAUAUACAGGGUAUUACGGUACAGAGUCAAUGUGGAGGCUAUAUACAGGGGGUACCGGUACAGAGUCAAUGUGGAGGCUAUAU
Molecule: long non-coding RNA, 774 nt
Organism: Oncorhynchus tshawytscha (Chinook salmon)
Lineage: Eukaryota; Metazoa; Chordata; Actinopteri; Salmoniformes; Salmonidae
Source: Ensembl